Molecule: long non-coding RNA, 883 nt
Organism: Patiria miniata (bat star)
Lineage: Eukaryota; Metazoa; Echinodermata; Asteroidea; Valvatida; Asterinidae
Exons: 2
Source: RefSeq, a predicted model, not a curated record
AAUUUGAUUAAAAGGGACCGACGGUAUACCAGGUAAAAUUGACAGAUACUUUAAAAUUCGCUAUGUUAGCUUUCCACUUGACCGCACGGCAUUUGGCUGUCGCAAAGCAAACAGUGCCAAUGGUUGAAUUGAUUACAUUGAGCUGCAGGACAGGAAAGGGUAAAAGGAACAGAGGAAAUAUCAGCUUGACACAGUCAAGAGAUCCUUGCACACAAAGAAUGCAUUGUGUUCGAUCCAUGGACUGCAAAAAACACAUUCACCCGUCGUGUCUGCACAUGCCACGCUUAAUGGGUACGAGUAUGAUUGAUGACACCUUUUACUGUAUGGAUUUUACCGCGCUGUUGAAUUAAAAAGAGAGCGCUUCAACUCGGCGGAAGUGUUCAAAGCCGGAAUGCGUGCCGUAUCAUACCAACGCAGUGUUGUUGAUCAAAUUGGCGCGAUACAUUCGAUAUGUACCGCUUCGGCGUAUACAGUCAUUUGUCACUGCGUAAAGUCUUGGAAAACCGCGUCAGUCUUGUAUUUGAUAAAAGGAAAAUAUCCUUUCAACUUAUUAUUGGAUUAGAGGCAUCUCAAAAUGCCACCCGAGCCACUUUUUCUUGCGGAAAUCCUUCAGCCAACGUCCGAUCUAUCAUUUCAGAAUAAAGGUACAUGAAAUGUGACUUUUCACAUGUAUUAACAUCAGCGGUGUAAUAAGAAGACCAUCCUACUGAAUCAGGUAGACUGGACUUCAUUGACUGUCCAGCAGUCUUUGGCCACAAUGAGCAGACUUGAAAAGCUUUAGACAUUUUGUUUUGAUCAUCAUUUUUUUUAAAUUAAAAUUGUUGCCAUUUUAAUAUACCUUGAUAAAACUCUGCUGAUAAUUUAUUUACUUAUUGUAGUUAUU